GUCAUAUAACAAAAGGCUUUGAAGGUAACAUUGCUCUUAGUGCCUUUGCAGACAUAGCAUGAACCAAUGCUAACUGUCCCAUAAAUUUGUUUUUGAUAAGUAUUUUGGUUCCAUAUACCGCUCAUAGGACUAGAUUUGGACAGUUUCUCUGUGUGCUACACGUUGGAGAAAUUGGAUGUAAUUUUUGGAAUUUUACAAAUGUUCCCCAAGAAGAGCCCAAGAUUCUUGGAUGAAGACACUAGAAUUGUCAUUU
RNAcentral lists this unclassified non-coding RNA (253 nucleotides) under Hevea brasiliensis (rubber tree). The record is from RNAcentral. Lineage: Eukaryota; Viridiplantae; Streptophyta; Magnoliopsida; Malpighiales; Euphorbiaceae.